AAUUCUGGCCUAUCCAAUUCUCUUCCGAUUCUGUCUGAUAUUGGAAGCUAAGCAGUUUUGGGGCCAACUAGUACUUGAAUGGGAAACCACUAGGGAAUUUCAGAUGCCAUAAGCA
This 115-nucleotide ribosomal RNA is filed under the name Crocodylus porosus (Australian saltwater crocodile). Lineage: Eukaryota; Metazoa; Chordata; Crocodylia; Crocodylidae. The record is from RNAcentral.